UCCGGUGGUGCAGUUGGUCGCGUGCCGUCUUACGGAGCGCGGGGUCGCGGGUUCGAGUCCCGGGCGAGAA
Non-coding RNA from Dryococelus australis, 70 nucleotides. The record is from the annotation of a GenBank genome assembly. Lineage: Eukaryota; Metazoa; Arthropoda; Insecta; Phasmatodea; Phasmatidae.